UAACAAGGUUUCCGUAGGUGAACCUGCGGAAGGAUCAUUGUCGAAACCUGCCCAGCAGAACGACCGGUGAACGUGUUUAUCAAACGAGGGGUCCGGCGCGGGUUCUUCCUGCAUCGGUCCUUCGCAAGGCUUCACCCGAGUUGCUGCGGUGCGUCGGCCCGCCCGUCCCCGCAGUAUCUCGGCCACAGCCCGCUAACAAACCCCCGGCGCGGAAAGCGUCAAGGAAAUACAAACAAGAAAAUCGGCGUUCCCGGUUGACCCGGAAACGGUGUGCAAAAGGGAUUCGCCGUAUUUUGAGAAUCUAAACGACUCCCGGCAACGGAUAUCUCGGCUCUCGCAUCGAUGAAGAACGCAGCGAAAUGCGAUACUUGGUGUGAAUUGCAGGAUCCCGUGAACCAUCGAGUUUUUGAACGCAAGUUGCGCCCGAAGCCUUUUGGCCGAGGGCACGUCUGCCUGGGUGUCACUCAACCGUCGCCCCGACCUCAACCUUUCGGAAGAGGCGGGCGGAAGAUGGCCUCCCGUGAGCUAUGCGCGUGCGGUUGGCCCAAAUGUCCGGUCCCCGGCAACGACGCCACGACAAUCGGUGGUUGAACGACCCUCGCUAACUGUCGCGAGCGAUCGGAAGCCGAAGCGACCGAAUAGGCCCCGAAGCGUGACUGAAGCCGCGCUCGCAAUGCGACCCCAGGUCAGGCGGGAUCACCCGCUGAGUUUAAGCAUAUCA
Molecule: ribosomal RNA, 721 nt
Filed under: Euphorbia lissosperma
Lineage: Eukaryota; Viridiplantae; Streptophyta; Magnoliopsida; Malpighiales; Euphorbiaceae
Description: eukaryotic LSU rRNA
Rfam family: 5.8S ribosomal RNA (bases 308-463)
Source: RNAcentral